This 466-nucleotide ribosomal RNA is filed under the name uncultured bacterium. Its description in RNAcentral is "partial 16S ribosomal RNA". It matches the Rfam family "Bacterial small subunit ribosomal RNA", at positions 28 to 507 of the family's 1533-position model. The record is from RNAcentral.
GACGAACGCUGGCGGCGCGCCUAACACAUGCAAGUCGAACGAGCGAGAGAGAGCUUGCUUUCUCGAGCGAGUGGCGAACGGGUGAGUAACGCGUGAGGAACCUGCCUCAAAGAGGGGGACAACAGUUGGAAACGACUGCUAAUACCGCAUAAGCCCACGACCCGGCAUCGGGUAGAGGGAAAAGGAGCAAUCCGCUUUGAGAUGGCCUCGCGUCCGAUUAGCUAGUUGGUGAGGUAACGGCCCACCAAGGCGACGAUCGGUAGCCGGGCUGAGAGGUUGAACGGCCACGUUGGGACUGAGACACGGCCCAGACUCCUACGGGAGGCAGCAGUGGGGAAUAUUGCACAAUGGGGGAAACCCUGAUGCAGCGACGCCGCGUGGGGGAAGAAGGUCUUCGGAUUGUAAACUCCUGUUGUUGAGGAAGAUAAUGACGGUACUCAACAAGGAAGUGACGGCUAACUACGUG